AGCGAACGCUGGCGGCAGGCCUACACAUGCAAGUCGAACGGAUCCUUCGGAUGCUGACGAGUGGCGAACGGGUGAGUAAUACAUCGGAACGUGCCUAGUAGUGGGGGAUAACUAAUCGAAAGAGUGGCUUAUACCGCAUGAGGUCUACGGAUGAAAGCAGGGGAUCGCAAGACCUUGUGCUACUAGAGCGGCCGAUGGCAGAUUAGGUAGUUGGUGGGAUAAAAGCUUACCAAGCCGACGAUCUGUAGCUGGUCUGAGAGGACGAUCAGCCACACUGGGACUGAGACACGGCCCAGACUCCUACGGGAGGCAGCAGUGGGGAAUUUUGGACAAUGGGCGAAAGCCUGAUCCAGCAAUGCCGCGUGCAGGAUGAAGGCCUUCGGGUUGUAAACUGCUUUUGUACGGAACGAAAAGCCCCGGGUUAAUACCCUGGGGUCAUGACGGUACCGUAAGAAUAAGCACCGGCUAACUACGUGCCAGCCGCCGCAGUAA
RNAcentral lists this ribosomal RNA (492 nucleotides) under uncultured bacterium. RNAcentral describes it as "partial 16S ribosomal RNA". It matches the Rfam family "Bacterial small subunit ribosomal RNA", at positions 29 to 523 of the family's 1533-position model. The record is from RNAcentral.